UACGGAGGGUGCAAGCGUUAUCCGGAUUUAUUGGGUUUAAAGGGUCCGUAGGCGGACUUAUAAGUCAGUGGUGAAAGCCUGUCGCUUAACGAUAGAACUGCCAUUGAUACUGUAAGUCUUGAGUAUAUUUGAGGUAGCUGGAAUAAGUAGUGUAGCGGUGAAAUGCAUAGAUAUUACUUAGAACACCAAUUGCGAAGGCAGGUUACCAAGAUAUAACUGACGCUGAGGGACGAAAGCGUGGGGAGCGAGCAGG
This 253-nucleotide ribosomal RNA is filed under the name uncultured bacterium. Its description in RNAcentral is "partial 16S ribosomal RNA". It matches the Rfam family "Bacterial small subunit ribosomal RNA", at positions 524 to 776 of the family's 1533-position model. The record is from RNAcentral.